This 460-nucleotide ribosomal RNA is filed under the name uncultured bacterium. RNAcentral's name for it is "partial 16S ribosomal RNA". It matches the Rfam family "Bacterial small subunit ribosomal RNA", at positions 338 to 795 of the family's 1533-position model. The record is from RNAcentral.
CCUACGGGUGGCAGCAGUGAGGAAUAUUGGUCAAUGGACGAGAGUCUGAACCAGCCAAGUAGCGUGAAGGAUGACUGCCCUAUGGGUUGUAAACCUCUUUUAUCUGGGAAUAAAAUCUUCCACGAGUGGGCUUUUGUAUGUACCUUAUGAAUAAGGAUCGGCUAACUCCGUGCCAGCAGCCGGGGUAAUACGGAGGAUCCGAGCGUUAUCCGGAUUUAUUGGGUUUAAAGGGAGGGGAGGUGGCUUGUUAAGUCAGUUGUGAAAGUUUGGGGCUCAACCGUAAAAUUGCAGUUGAAACUGGCAGUCUUGAGUACAGUAGAGGUGGGCGGAAGUCGUGGUGUAGCGGUGAAAUGCUUAGAUAUCGCGCAGAACUCCGAUUGCGAAGGCAGUGCACUGGCCUGCAACUGACGCUGAGGCACGAAAGUGUGGGUAUCGAACAGGAUUAGAUACCCCUGUAGUC